Molecule: transfer RNA, 83 nt
Organism: Gloeophyllum trabeum ATCC 11539
Lineage: Eukaryota; Fungi; Basidiomycota; Agaricomycetes; Gloeophyllales; Gloeophyllaceae
Rfam family: tRNA
About the family: Transfer RNA (tRNA) molecules are approximately 80 nucleotides in length. Their secondary structure includes four short double-helical elements and three loops (D, anti-codon, and T loops).
Source: Rfam
GAACCCGUAGCUCAGAGGUAGAGCGUGUGAUUCCAGUUUAAGAUGCUUCCACAAGGUCAUCCGUUCAAUCCGGGUCGGGUUCA